GUUCAAAGUCCCUGAGGUGGAACAAAACAUCAGCAAGUUCAGUAAAUUGAAAGAAGACCAGAAUCUUCUUGGUGCACACUGAGCAUGGAAAGUGCCUGUGAGAUGCUCGAGUCCAAUUAUGUAAGGCCUUCGAGACUAUGAGGGCCCCCAAACUGCAUAAGCUUCAGGACCCAUGAGACCUGGAUCAUCUCCUGCUUUUAAAUAUCAAGCUGGAGAAGUUGGCUUCUCUCCCGGAGGCAAUCGGGAACCAUCACAGGAUUAUGGCAGAAGAAUGGAACAAUCAGACCCGUACUGAGAGGCAGUAUGCUAGAGCAGAAUCACAUUGGCUCAUGAGAGGAGCCCCAGUCAAGAACUUAGAAGGGCAGAGUGAAAAUUAUUUUUCCUCCCUACAUUGGCCAUUUGUACGUCAUCACUGGAGAAACGUCUAUUCAGAUGCUUUGCCCAUUUUUAAAUUGGGUUGUCUUUUAUUAUUGAGUUGUAUGAGUUCUUUAUAUAUUCUGGAUACAUUCCCUUAUCAGAUAUACGAGGUCUAAAAAUUUUCUCCCACUCUGUAGGUUGUCUUUUCACUUUCUGGAUGGUAUCGUUAGCAGCACAGUUUUCUGAUGCAUUUUGAUGAAGUCCAGUUUAUCUUUUUUGUCACUUGUGCUUUUGGUGUCAUAUCUAAGAAAUCACUGCCUAAUCCAAAGUCAUGAAGAUUUACUCUUAUGCUUUAUUCUGAGAGUUCUAUGCUGUGAGUCCUCCAACUUGGUUCAAGAUUGUUUUGGCUUUGCUGGGUCCCUUGACCUUCCAUAUAAACCUGAAAAUCAGCCUAUCAAUUUCUGCAAAAAAGUUAGCUGGGAUUGUGAUAGUGAUUACACUGAAUCUGGAAAUCAUCACUCAUACUGUUUUAUAACCUGCUUUUUUUUCAGUUAAAUAUAUUGUGGACAUCUUUCCAUUUCAAUAAUUACAGAGUAUCAUGAUCUUUUUCUUAAGUAACAAUUCAACAAAUAUUUAUUAAACAAUUACAAGACAUGAGGUGGUCUGGUUGCUGGUUAUACCCAGGUGAAUCAGGCACGUAUCCCACCUGUAAAAAGGAGCUUUCUACCUGAGAAUGGAAAUAGGACAUGAACACAAAGAACUAUAUUCCAAGUAUGAGAGAGAUAUCAAUAAAAUGCUACCAAAAAAAGAUUAUUUGCAGAUAUGAGGAAGAAGGUAAGGCUUCCAUGUACAUAUAGUCAUUUAGCUAGAUUAGAGUUUCUCAACUUUAGCACUAUUAGCACUUGGGGAUCAUUCUUUGCAGUGGAGACUGUCCUGUGCACUAGGAUGUUGAGCAGCGUCCCUGGCCUCUACCCACUAGAUGCCAGAAGCACUCUCCUCUUCCAGUUGUGACAACCCACAAUGUCUCCGGAUGUUGGCAAAUGUCAUCAGGGAGGCAAAAUCAUCCCUGGUUGAGAACCACUGAGCUAGACCUUACAUCAUCAUUUUUAAUGGCUGAGUAGUGCAUCCCAUGGAUAAUCCACAAUCAAUGCAACUAGUACUCUAUAACUGCACAUUCCUGAUGCGUCAAAUUUUCCACUAUUUUUAAUAAAAC
Molecule: long non-coding RNA, 1570 nt
Organism: Equus asinus (donkey)
Lineage: Eukaryota; Metazoa; Chordata; Mammalia; Perissodactyla; Equidae
Source: Ensembl